GAAAUGCGAUAAGUAAUGUGAAUUGCAGAAUUCAGUGAAUCAUCGAAUCUUUGAACGCACCUUGUGCUCCUUGGUAUUCCGAGGAGCAUGCCUGUUUGAGUGUCAUGGAAUUCUCAACUCUAUUUGCUUUUGUGAAUAGAGCUUGGAUUUGGAGGUUUAUUGCUGGUACUUGUGAUCGGCUCCUCUUGAAUGCAUUAGCUCGAACCUUUGCGGAUCAGCUAUCGGUGUGAUAAUUGUCUACGCCGUUGCAGUGAAGCAUAUCAAUGGGCUCGGCUUCCAAUCGUCCUUUACUGGACAAUGACUUUGACCUUUGACCUCAAAUCAGGUAGGAUUACCCGCUGAACUUAGGC
Molecule: unclassified non-coding RNA, 350 nt
Filed under: plant metagenome
Description: partial contains 5.8S ribosomal RNA, internal transcribed spacer 2, and large subunit ribosomal RNA
Rfam family: 5.8S ribosomal RNA (bases 1-105)
Source: RNAcentral